This 489-nucleotide ribosomal RNA is filed under the name Austrominius modestus. RNAcentral's name for it is "partial 12S small subunit ribosomal RNA". The record is from RNAcentral. Lineage: Eukaryota; Metazoa; Arthropoda; Thecostraca; Balanomorpha; Elminiidae.
AAUUAGCGUAUAAAAUCAAGCCAGACUUUACUAAUAUUAUUAGGUAGAAUUUUAAUCUAAGAUAAUUAUGGUAUAUAAAUACGUUUUAACUAUAAUAGGGACCAGGAUUAGAUACCCUGUUACUUAUAAGUAAAUAUUUUUGGAACAGUAAAAGUAAUGAAAUUUAACGGAUUUGGCGGCAAGAUAGCCAUUUAGAGGAACCUGCCCUAUAAACGAUGAGCCACGAAUAACCUUACUCUUUUUAGUUACUCAGUUUGUAUACCGCUGUUGUCAGUUAGUUUCUUUAGAAAACUUUCGUUUAUGAUAUAUUCAAUGACUUCAAGUAAAGGUGCAGCUUAUAGAAGAGACAGAGGUGGGUUACAAUUAACAGAAUAAAACGGAUAAAGUUUUUGAAACAACUUUUGAAGGUGGAUUUAAAAGUAAGAUUUUAUGAAGUCUGAUGAGAGCUCUAUCUUGUGUACACACCGCCCGUCGCUCUCUUUUUUAAAC